GAUGAACGCUGGCGGCGUGCCUAAUACAUGCAAGUCGAGCGAACAGAUGAGGAGCUUGCUCCUCUGACGUUAGCGGCGGACGGGUGAGUAACACGUGGAUAACCUACCUAUAAGACUGGGAUAACUUCGGGAAACCGGAGCUAAUACCGGAUAAUAUAUUGAACCGCAUGGUUCAAUAGUGAAAGACGGUUUUGCUGUCACUUAUAGAUGGAUCCGCGCCGCAUUAGCUAGUUGGUAAGGUAACGGCUUACCAAGGCAACGAUGCGUAGCCGACCUGAGCGGGUGAUCGGCCACACUGGAACGGAGACACGGUCCAGACUCCUACGGGAGGCAGCAGUAGGGAAUCUUCCGCAAUGGGCGAAAGCCUGACGGAGCAACGCCGCGUGAGUGAUGAAGGUCUUCGGAUCGUAAAACUCUGUUAUUAGGGAAGAACAAAUGUGUAAGUAACUAUGCACGUCUUGACGGUACCUAAUCAGAAAGCCACGGCUAACUACGUG
This 497-nucleotide ribosomal RNA is filed under the name uncultured bacterium. RNAcentral describes it as "partial 16S ribosomal RNA". It matches the Rfam family "Bacterial small subunit ribosomal RNA", at positions 28 to 507 of the family's 1533-position model. The record is from RNAcentral.